This 487-nucleotide ribosomal RNA is filed under the name Peptostreptococcaceae bacterium canine oral taxon 047. Its description in RNAcentral is "bacterial SSU rRNA". It matches the Rfam family "Bacterial small subunit ribosomal RNA", at positions 9 to 497 of the family's 1533-position model. The record is from RNAcentral. Lineage: Bacteria; Bacillati; Bacillota; Clostridia; Peptostreptococcales; Peptostreptococcaceae.
GAGUUUGAUUCUGGCUCAGGAUGAACGCGGCGGCGUGCCUAACACAUGCAAGUCGAACGAAGAAUUUUUUGGAAGUUUUCGGAUGGAAGAAAAAUUACUUAGUGGCGGACGGGUGAGUAACGCGUAAGUAAUCAACCUACAACACACGAAUAACUAAGAGAAAUCUUAGCUAAUACGAGAUGAAGUAAGUAUAUCGGGAGAUAUAAAUAUGAAAGCUGAGGCGGUUGUAGACGAGCUUGCGUCUGAUUAGCUAGUUGGCAGGGUAAGAGCCUACCAAGGCGACGAUCAGUAGCCGGCCUGAGAGGGUGAACGGCCACAUUGGAACUGAGAGACGGUCCAAACUCCUACGGGAGGCAGCAGUGGGGGAUAUUGCACAAUGGGCGAAAGCCUGAUGCAGCAACGCCGCGUGAGCGAAGAAGGCUUUCGAGUCGUAAAGCUCUGUCGUAUGGGAAGAAAAAAAUGACAGUACCAUACAAGAAGCCCCGCA